UGUGACCUCAAAUCAGGUA
This 19-nucleotide ribosomal RNA is filed under the name Cortinarius fulvescens. Its description in RNAcentral is "partial 28S ribosomal RNA". The record is from RNAcentral. RNAcentral also lists the same sequence under 2 other names. Lineage: Eukaryota; Fungi; Basidiomycota; Agaricomycetes; Agaricales; Cortinariaceae.